GGGGAGUAUGCACGCAAGUGUGAAACUCAAAGGAAUUGACGGGGGCCCGCACAAGCGGUGGAGUAUGUGGUUUAAUUCGAAGCAACGCGAAGAACCUUACCAGGCCUUGACAUGGGAAGCGAAGGCUUAGAGAUAAGCUGGAGGUUAUCUUCCACACAGGUGGUGCAUGGUUGUCGUCAGCUCGUGUCGUGAGAUGUUCAGUUAAGUCUGGCAACGAGCGCAACCCUUAUGAUAUGUUGCUAACAUUGAGUUGAGGACUCAUAUCAGACUGCCGGUGACAAACCGGAGGAAGGCGGGGAUGACGUCAAAUCAUCAUGCCCCUUAUGGCCUGGGCUACACACGUACUACAAUGGCGUCUACAGCGCGAAGCAAACCAGUGAUGGCAAGCGAACCGUCAAAAGGCGUCUUAGUUCGGAUUGAAGCCUGCAACCCGGCUUCAUGAAGGCGGAAUCGCUAGUAAUCGCGGAUCAGCAUGCCGCGGUGAAUACGUUCCCGGGCCUUGUACACACCGCCCGUCAAACCAUGGAAGCCGGCAACGCCCGAAGCCGGCGGCAUAACCCGCAAGGGAGUGAGCCGUCGAAGGCGGGGCCGACGACUGGGGUUAAGUCGUAACAAGGUA
Molecule: ribosomal RNA, 619 nt
Filed under: uncultured bacterium
Lineage: Bacteria
Description: bacterial SSU rRNA
Rfam family: Bacterial small subunit ribosomal RNA
Source: RNAcentral